GCAAAGAAUUAAGUGGAAAGGUUACUGAUUAAUUUCGCUUCGUGUGCUUUUCAUUGUGUCAUGUGUUUUAGGCCAUGUAGCACCUGAUUCAAUAUGAAGAUGAACUGGAGGACGCCGGUGUAGUGUUAGUUUCAGUUCAACUUCAUAUCGAACCACAUGACACAAUGAAAAGCACACAAAGCAAAAUUAAACAAUAACCUUUCCACUUACUUCUUUGC
This is a non-coding RNA of Xyrichtys novacula (pearly razorfish), 218 nucleotides long. The record is from the annotation of a GenBank genome assembly. Lineage: Eukaryota; Metazoa; Chordata; Actinopteri; Labriformes; Labridae.